UGAGCAAUCUGCCCUUCUCAUCGGAAUAAGCGUUGGAAACGACGUCUAAUGCCGAAUACGACCUCCUUUCGCAUGAUCGGAGGUGGAAAGCUCCGGCGGAGAAGGAUGAGCUCGNGGCCUAUCAGCUAGUUGGUGUGGGUAAUGGCCCACCAAGGCGACGACGGGUAGCCGGCGUCGAGAGGGUGGACCGGCCCGACCACUGGGACGUGAGACACGGCCCGACGACUCCUACCGGGAGGC
Molecule: ribosomal RNA, 240 nt
Filed under: uncultured bacterium
Lineage: Bacteria
Description: partial 16S ribosomal RNA
Rfam family: Bacterial small subunit ribosomal RNA
Source: RNAcentral